This 1473-nucleotide long non-coding RNA is filed under the name Populus trichocarpa (black cottonwood). RNAcentral describes it as "long non-coding RNA (PTRI_LNC004554)". The record is from RNAcentral. Lineage: Eukaryota; Viridiplantae; Streptophyta; Magnoliopsida; Malpighiales; Salicaceae.
GGAGAGACGGUAACCAUGCAUGAUCUAUUACGAGACAUGGGAAGGGAGGUCGUUCGUGAAUCGUCUCCAAAAGAACCUGGAUAGAGGACCAGAAAUUGGAAUCAAGAGGAUGCAUGGAAUGUGCUUGAGCAGCUGAAGGUAAAAAAAAAAUAGUCAUGGAACACUUGACUGAUCAAAGAAAAAAAAUUAUUUAUUUUCUCUUAUUGAGCUCCAUAGUUUAAACUUUCUCUUUACACAUAAUUUUUAGUUUGGUAUAUAUAUUCUACUGUUUUUUAUAAUCUUUAUAUUUAUAUUUUUAAAUAUAAGUACACAUAGCAUCAUUUGAAUCUUUUGAUUGAAAGUAAAAGCUUUAUCUCGUAAAAUCAUCUCUAGAAGGUUUUAUUUGGUCAAUCUUCAAAAACUUAGGGAUUAAAAAAAAAAAACUUCUUACUUGAUUCAAUUUGGAAACCUCAAGGAGAAAAUUGAAACAAGUAUAACCUCACGGGGAGAAGUUGAAUUCUCCCCAAACUCAGGGGUUAAUUAAAAUUAACCUUUAAAUUUCUAUCCAUGCCCAGUUGCCCACGAAAGAGAAGAGGUACAUCCACGUGAAGCUCAUUUUGGGUUUGGGUUAGUUGAAAAUAUCUAGUGGGUGGGCCUUUUUUUUCUUCUGUUUUUCUGUUUUUUUUUUGUUUUUAUGCACAGAAUACAUGAAAUAAUAAAUUUAAAUCCAACAAAUCCAAUAGAGAUAUAAUAUUGUAUACGAUCAACAUGAAAGAAUUUUACGAAAAGAGAUGAAAAUAUCAUAUAUUAUGAGUCUCUGCCAGUCAUAAUUGUAUUGUUUUGUGUAUUAUCAAUUAUCUUUCUUGUAUAGGAAAUAUCAGGUUGGAUUUUGCUGAUGACAAACUUAAUCCUAGAGAUUGCAUCUGCGGUUUUUGACCAGACGGGUGAUGCAUUAAUUGGCAUGGUGUUGGCAUUUGUAGCUUUGCUUCUUGCUGCCGUUGAACUCAUUCACAUGGCUCGAAAGGAAAGAACUAAACGGGAGGGCAUGAGCCUAUUGCCACGUUUUCAUCUCCAUGCAACUUAUACUUUCGCAACUAGAAAGCCUGUUGGCACUAUUGUUGAGUAUUUUGGAUUGGCUGGUGCUGUCUGGCAAUGUGUUUAUUCGACUGUGGAGUAUAUGUAUACUCGUCAGAAGAAAGAUAAUCCAAUUAAGAUGUGUCUUCGACCUUUUAUUUUCUUAUUAUGCGUGGUGAUUUCCAAAUUAUUAGUCGACAAGAGUUCCGUUGUAAAUAGUUCUUAGCAAUAGUAUUUUCUUUGAACUAGAAGGAAUUGCUAGUAUUGUGUUCUAAGGACUCUUUUUAGUGGGAAUGAGUCAAAGAUUUUGAUUCCUAGAUUUUCUUAUCGAAGACCCAGACUUGUAAUGCAAUUAAGACUCUAUAUUUUAGACAGUGAGCAUGAGUUGACGUGGACAAUCUAGCUAUUAUUGAUAUGCGG